AACGAACGCUGGCGGCAUGCCUAACACAUGCAAGUCGAACGAGACCUUCGGGUCUAGUGGCGCACGGGUGCGUAACGCGUGGGAACCUGCCCUUAGGUUCGGAAUAACUCCCCGAAAGGGGUGCUAAUACCGGAUAAUGUCUUCGGACCAAAGAUUUAUCGCCUUUGGAUGGGCCCGCGUUGGAUUAGCUAGUUGGUAGGGUAAAAGCCUACCAAGGCGACGAUCCAUAGCUGGUCUGAGAGGAUGAUCAGCCACACUGGGACUGAGACACGGCCCAGACUCCUACGGGAGGCAGAAGUGGGGAAUAUUGGACAAGGGGCGAAAGCCUGAUCCAGCAAGGCCGCGUGAGUGAUGAAGGCCUUAGGGUUGUAAAGCUCUUUUACCCGGGAUGAUAAUGACAGUACCGGGAGAAUAAGCGCCGGCUAACUCCGUG
Molecule: ribosomal RNA, 433 nt
Filed under: uncultured bacterium
Lineage: Bacteria
Description: partial 16S ribosomal RNA
Rfam family: Bacterial small subunit ribosomal RNA
Source: RNAcentral